GUGUCCAGGGGUGCCGAUCUACCAAGCAGGGACGGCGGUGGUGGCAUUUGCCCUGGAUAUGAGUUCAUUGGCAUAUCAUAUAAUGGCUGGGUCUGUGAAUCCCCAUUUGUCGCUGAUGUAUUAGACAUAAAUAUCUUGUUACUAGUUUCAUAUGAUGGAAAACUAGGAGCAACAGACUUCUCCAACGUAAGCGUUAAUUUUCUAAUUGAUUCUUCUAACCUUCCAAUCUGUUGUUUCAUUUGAUUCUGCUAAUGAUCUACAUACUGUUUAAUAGAUUGGAUGUCAUCGGGAUUACUUACGUUGGGGACUUGAAGCAAAGAUAGAAGAGAUGCGGCGUCGUCUCUCCACGUUUGACUACUUUCUGGUGGCGAUCCACCGUUUAUUGUGAUAAGAAUUUCUCCUUCUCUUGACGCAUGUAGUCCUCGUAUUGCUAUUGUUCAUCGACCGUCAUACUUUCAACAGU
This 463-nucleotide long non-coding RNA is filed under the name Zea mays. RNAcentral describes it as "long non-coding RNA (ZMAY_LNC003573)". Lineage: Eukaryota; Viridiplantae; Streptophyta; Magnoliopsida; Poales; Poaceae. The record is from RNAcentral.